Molecule: ribosomal RNA, 253 nt
Filed under: uncultured bacterium
Lineage: Bacteria
Description: partial 16S ribosomal RNA
Rfam family: Bacterial small subunit ribosomal RNA
Source: RNAcentral
UACGUAGGGUGCAAGCGUUAUCCGGAAUUAUUGGGCGUAAAGAGCUCGUAGGCGGUUUGUCGCGUCUGCUGUGAAAACCGGAGGCUCAACCUCCGGCCUGCAGUGGGUACGGGCAAACUAGAGUGCGGUAGGGGAGAUUGGAAUUCCUGGUGUAGCGGUGGAAUGCGCAGAUAUCAGGAGGAACACCGAUGGCGAAGGCAGAUCUCUGGGCCGUAACUGACGCUGAGGAGCGAAAGCAUGGGGAGCGAACAGG